Long non-coding RNA from Choloepus didactylus (southern two-toed sloth), 398 nucleotides. RefSeq lists it as uncharacterized. Lineage: Eukaryota; Metazoa; Chordata; Mammalia; Pilosa; Megalonychidae. The transcript has 3 exons. The record is from RefSeq and is a predicted model, not a curated record.
CAAGGUGCCGAAAGACACUUAUGGUCUAUGUUGCCAAAAGGCAUACAAGCGCCUGAAUGGUGGCAGCUGUGACACCAUGAUUGGCACCUGGGACUGUCCUCCUGGCUUCACUGGGGCAGACUGCAGUCAAAGAGAAUCAAUGGGAGAAAGUUUCUCAUGCCAAUGCAUCUUCAAAAGCUAUGGUUCCUCUGGACAGUGGAUGUAUUUUUCUCCUAAGGAAGCUGUGAUCUGUUACUUUCCAUUUUUUACCUUGACUACUAGAUAGAUUAGAGCCAAAUUUGCAGCCUGCCUCUUGCAAGUUCAAAUAAUUUUGAAGUAUAUUUAUCUUGUCUUGAAGAUCACUAUGGGCAGGACUGUGUCCAGAUAUGUUCCUGUGGCUCAGGAGAGUGUGACUGGAG